Molecule: ribosomal RNA, 607 nt
Filed under: uncultured Alphaproteobacteria bacterium
Lineage: Bacteria; Pseudomonadati; Pseudomonadota; Alphaproteobacteria
Description: bacterial SSU rRNA
Rfam family: Bacterial small subunit ribosomal RNA
Source: RNAcentral
GGAAAGAUUUAUCGCCGAGGGAUGGGCCCGCGUCGGAUUAGGUUGUUGGUGAGGUAACGGCUCACCAAGCCUGCGAUCCGUAGCUGGUCUGAGAGGAUGAUCAGCCACACUGGGACUGAGACACGGCCCAGACUCCUACGGGAGGCAGCAGUGGGGAAUCUUGGACAAUGGACGCAAGUCUGAUCCAGCGAUGCCGCGUGAGCGAUGAAGGCCUUAGGGUUGUAAAGCUCUUUCGCCCGCGACGAUGAUGACGGUAGCGGGAGAAGAAGCCCCGGCUAACUCCGUGCCAGCAGCCGCGGUAAUACGGAGGGGGCUAGCGUUGUUCGGAAUUACUGGGCGUAAAGCGCGCGUAGGCGGCCCAUCAAGUCAGGGGUGAAAGUCCCGGGGCUCAACCCCGGAAUUGCCUUUGAGACUGAUGGGCUCGAGUUCGGGAGAGGAGAGUGGAAUUCCCAGUGUAGAGGUGAAAUUCGUAGAUAUUGGGAAGAACACCGGUGGCGAAGGCGGCUCUCUGGCCCGAGACUGACGCUGAGGCGCGAAAGCGUGGGGAGCAAACAGGAUUAGAUANCCUGGUAGUCCACGCCGUAAACGAUGGAUGCCAGACGUCGGG